CCUGCUCAAUGAGCAUUUCUUUAAUAGCCGCAGUACACUGACUGUGCUAAGGUAGCGUAAUCAAUUGUCCUUUAAUUGGGGGNGANUANGAANGGAUNCACUGGGUUUAACUGUCNCAAUAAUAUUUUAAAUAACUUACUUAGUAGGUGAAAAUUCCUUCUUUAAAAAGAAAGACGAGAAGACCCUUAGACUUUUUUAAAGUAAAAUUACUUAUUUUUUUUAUUUUGUUGGGGCGACAGAGUUUCAUUUAAACAAACUUUUUACAAAUAUUAUGAUUUAAUCAAAUUUUAUUUAUAUGAAAUAAAGUACCUAAGGGAUAACAGCAUAAUUACUAAAGUAGAUUGUGACCUCGAUGUUGGA
The sequence is a ribosomal RNA, 360 nucleotides long. It matches the Rfam family "Archaeal large subunit ribosomal RNA", at positions 1950 to 2605 of the family's 2987-position model.